Molecule: unclassified non-coding RNA, 338 nt
Filed under: soil metagenome
Description: partial contains 5.8S ribosomal RNA, internal transcribed spacer 2, and large subunit ribosomal RNA
Rfam family: 5.8S ribosomal RNA (bases 1-120)
Source: RNAcentral
GAUGAAGAACGUAGCGAAAUGCGAUACGUAGUGUGAAUUGCAGAAUUCAGUGAAUCAUCGAAUCUUUGAACGCACAUUGCGCCCUUUGGUAUUCCAAAGGGCAUGCCUGUUCGAGCGUCAUUUGUACCCUCAAGCUUUGCUUGGUGUUGGGCGUCUUGUCUCCAGUCCGCUGGAGACUCGCCUUAAAGUCAUUGGCAGCCGGCCUACUGGUUUCGGAGCGCAGCACAAGUCGCACUCCUUUCCAGCCAAGGUCAGCGUCCAACAAGCCUUUUUUCAACUUUUGACCUCGGAUCAGGUAGGGAUACCCGCUGAACUUAAGCAUAUCAAUAAGCGGAGGA